AUGUCCGGCCGCGGCAAGGGAGGGAAGGGCCUCGGCAAGGGCGGCGCCAAGCGCCACCGGAAGGUGCUGCGCGACAACAUCCAGGGCAUCACCAAGCCGGCAAUCCGGCGUCUGGCUCGGCGGGGCGGCGUGAAGCGCAUCUCGGGGCUCAUCUACGAGGAGACCCGCGGCGUGCUCAAGAUCUUCCUGGAGAACGUCAUCCGCGACGCCGUCACCUACACCGAGCACGCCCGCCGCAAGACCGUCACCGCCAUGGACGUCGUCUACGCCCUGAAGCGCCAGGGACGCACCCUCUACGGAUUCGGAGGCUAG
RNAcentral lists this ribosomal RNA (312 nucleotides) under Triticum aestivum (bread wheat). RNAcentral's name for it is "partial small subunit ribosomal RNA". Lineage: Eukaryota; Viridiplantae; Streptophyta; Magnoliopsida; Poales; Poaceae. The record is from RNAcentral.